UAAUUCUAGGAAUUUUCAGUUUGCACCUCUUAGCAAAGACACGCAAGUUCAUUACUUCUCUGGAGAAAUAGAUGAUAAUUCAAUUCAUCAGCUUUGAAAUGAAUUACUUUUUUUGAAGUCUCGACAUAGGUGUCAACCAUAUCUUCAAGCUUUUCACCGUAAGCGACAUCUUAUCAGUUCACUAGGAGGCAUAGUCUUCCCUCUACAGUGAUAUUUGACACCUGUGAGGAUGAGCACCGGAAAGGAACUGCCUCGAAAAAAUUGCCCAUCACCGGAUUCGUGCGGUUGGAGUAAGAAAGAUAUGCUCCACUUUCACUGCCCACGGGAAGAUUGUAAAUAUUCUGCAAGAGAGCCGAAGAGAGUUUACGCACACAUUCAAUCGAAACAUGCAGAGAUAAAUUCCAUGCCUUCUACCUCAGAAGGCUUCACUAGAGAACCAGACGGAGAGGU
Molecule: non-coding RNA, 450 nt
Organism: Pocillopora verrucosa
Lineage: Eukaryota; Metazoa; Cnidaria; Anthozoa; Scleractinia; Pocilloporidae
Source: RefSeq, a predicted model, not a curated record